UACGUAGGUGGCAAGCGUUGUCCGGAUUUAUUGGGCGUAAAGAGCGCGCAGGCGGUCGUUCAAGUCGCGUGUGAAAGCCCCCGGCUCAACUGGGGAGGGUCACGCGAUACUGAUCGACUCGAAGGCAGGAGAGGGUAGUGGAAUUCCCGGUGUAGUGGUGAAAUGCGUAGAUAUCGGGAGGAACACCAGUGGCGAAGGCGACUACCUGGCCUGUUCUUGACGCUGAGGCGCGAAAGCUAGGGGAGCAAACGGG
RNAcentral lists this ribosomal RNA (253 nucleotides) under uncultured bacterium. RNAcentral's name for it is "partial 16S ribosomal RNA". It matches the Rfam family "Bacterial small subunit ribosomal RNA", at positions 524 to 776 of the family's 1533-position model. The record is from RNAcentral.